RNAcentral lists this ribosomal RNA (1419 nucleotides) under uncultured bacterium. Its description in RNAcentral is "bacterial SSU rRNA". It matches the Rfam family "Bacterial small subunit ribosomal RNA". The record is from RNAcentral.
AGAGUUUGAUCCUGGCUCAGGAUGAACGCUAGCUACAGGCUUAACACAUGCAAGUCGAGGGGCAGCAUGGUCUUAGCUUGCUAAGGCCGAUGGCGACCGGCGCACGGGUGAGUAACACGUAUCCAACCUGCCGUCUACUCUUGGACAGCCUUCUGAAAGGAAGAUUAAUACAAGAUGGCAUCAUGAGUUCACAUGUUCACAUGAUUAAAGGUAUUCCGGUAGACGAUGGGGAUGCGUUCCAUUAGAUAGUAGGCGGGGUAACGGCCCACCUAGUCUUCGAUGGAUAGGGGUUCUGAGAGGAAGGUCCCCCACAUUGGAACUGAGACACGGUCCAAACUCCUACGGGAGGCAGCAGUGAGGAAUAUUGGUCAAUGGGCGAGAGCCUGAACCAGCCAAGUAGCGUGAAGGAUGACUGCCCUAUGGGUUGUAAACUUCUUUUAUAAAGGAAUAAAGUCGGGUAUGCAUACCCGUUUGCAUGUACUUUAUGAAUAAGGAUCGGCUAACUCCGUGCCAGCAGCCGCGGUAAUACGGAGGAUCCGAGCGUUAUCCGGAUUUAUUGGGUUUAAAGGGAGCGUAGAUGGAUGUUUAAGUCAGUUGUGAAAGUUUGCGGCUCAACCGUAAAAUUGCAGUUGAUACUGGAUAUCUUGAGUGCAGUUGAGGCAGGCGGAAUUCGUGGUGUAGCGGUGAAAUGCUUAGAUAUCACGAAGAACUCCGAUUGCGAAGGCAGCCUGCUAAGCUGCAACUGACAUUGAGGCUCGAAAGUGUGGGUAUCAAACAGGAUUAGAUACCCUGGUAGUCCACACGGUAAACGAUGAAUACUCGCUGUUUGCGAUAUACAGCAAGCGGCCAAGCGAAAGCGUUAAGUAUUCCACCUGGGGGAGUACGCCCGGCAACGGUGAAACUCAAAAGGAAUUGACGGGGGGCCCGCACAAGCGGAGGAACCAUGUGGGUUUAAAUCCGAUGAUACCCCGAGGAACCUUACCCCGGGCUUAAAUUUGCGAAAAAAUUACCGUGGAAAACCCUUAGGCCCCAAGGGAUCCUUUGAAAGGGCUCGCCUGGGUUGUCGUCCACCUCCUGGCCCCGGAAGGUGGCGGCUUUAAUGGCCUAACCAAGCCGAACCCCUUGUUUGGAUUUUACAACAAAGGUCCCGCUGAAGGACUUUGAAAAGACUGCCAUCGUAAGAUGUGAGGAAGGUGGGGAUGACGUCAAAUCAGCACGGCCCUUACGUCCGGGGCUACACACGUGUUACAAUGGGGGGUACAGAGGGCCGCUACCACGCGAGUGGAUGCCAAUCCCCAAAACCUCUCUCAGUUCGGACUGGAGUCUGCAACCCGACUCCACGAAGCUGGAUUCGCUAGUAAUCGCGCAUCAGCCACGGCGCGGUGAAUACGUUCCCGGGCCUUGUACACACCGCCCGUC